GGGUCAGUAGGUUGGUCGUGCCACCGGUACGUACUGGUCUCACUGAUUCCUCCUUCCUGAAGAACCGUAACGCCAUUAAUUUGGUGUUGCUGGGAAACAGGACUGCUACUUUGAAAAAAUUAGAGUGUUUAAAGCAAGCUAACGCUUGAAUACAUUAGCACGGAAUAAUGAAAUAGGACGAUCGAUCCUAUUUUGUUGGUUUCUAGGAUUGACGUA
RNAcentral lists this ribosomal RNA (216 nucleotides) under Glomeromycotina sp. RNAcentral describes it as "partial small subunit ribosomal RNA". The stretch from base 75 to 216 matches the Rfam family "Eukaryotic small subunit ribosomal RNA", at positions 721 to 864 of the family's 1831-position model. The record is from RNAcentral. Lineage: Eukaryota; Fungi; Glomeromycota.